UACGUAGGGGGCAAGCGUUGUCCGGAAUCAUUGGGCGUAAAGAGCGUGUAGGCGGCUCGGUAAGUCCGCUGUAAAAGUCCAGGGCUCAACCCUGGAAAGCCGGUGGAAACUGUCGAGCUAGAGUCCGGAAGAGGCGAGUGGAAUUCCUGGUGUAGCGGUGAAAUGCGCAGAUAUCAGGAGGAACACCGAUGGCGAAGGCAGGUCUCUGGGCCAUAACUGACGCUGAGAAGCGAAAGCAUGGGGAGCGAACAGG
This 253-nucleotide ribosomal RNA is filed under the name uncultured bacterium. RNAcentral describes it as "partial 16S ribosomal RNA". It matches the Rfam family "Bacterial small subunit ribosomal RNA", at positions 524 to 776 of the family's 1533-position model. The record is from RNAcentral.